GUGCCCAUAGCUCAGCUGGAUAGAGCACCGGCCUUCUAAGCCGGGGGUCGUGGGUUCGAGUCCCGCUGGGCGCG
Molecule: transfer RNA, 74 nt
Filed under: Archangium sp.
Lineage: Bacteria; Pseudomonadati; Myxococcota; Myxococcia; Myxococcales; Archangiaceae
Description: tRNA-Arg
Rfam family: tRNA
About the family: Transfer RNA (tRNA) molecules are approximately 80 nucleotides in length. Their secondary structure includes four short double-helical elements and three loops (D, anti-codon, and T loops). Further hydrogen bonds mediate the characteristic L-shaped molecular structure. tRNAs have two regions of fundamental functional importance: the anti-codon, which is responsible for specific mRNA codon recognition, and the 3' end, to which the tRNAs corresponding amino acid is attached (by aminoacyl-tRNA synthetases). tRNAs cope with the degeneracy of the genetic code in two manners: having more than one tRNA (with a specific anti-codon) for a particular amino acid; and 'wobble' base-pairing, i.e. permitting non-standard base-pairing at the 3rd anti-codon position.
Source: RNAcentral